AAAUUAUAUAAUAAUAAUAAUAAUAAUAAUAAAGGCUAACAAUAAUGUAUAUGAAAUAAAAAUGUGCCCUAUUAGGCCUGUUUUGCCACUUCUGUGUCAGUUUGUUGGUACGUCAAUAUUUCAGAAAAUAGAAAUUAUAUGCUCAUUUUCAUUUUUUGCGGUCUGAAGAGAUAUCGCGAGAUUACACGAGACUAUAAAAUAUCAAACACCAGAGCCUGAAGCGGAUCUGAGUUGCCAUGGAAACGGGGAAACGUCAGGCAGCAAGACCCCGUCUCGCUGUUGUUUUCACUGAUUUUAGGGUCGACAGAAAACCCCCUCUACAACAAAGGAGAAGCUGACAGAGGAGGAGGAAACACAGUUAAGAAGUCUUUCACAUCCAAAUGUAAGUGACACUACAUGUACAAUACUGAAUUCUAAAUCUAAAAAUAUACAUUUUGUUAUCUUAAGUAAUAUAUAUAUAUUUUUUAAUAUGUAUAUUAUUCUUUCCACCUCUGCUCUAGCUUGGUUCCUUGUAAUAAACCUGGCAUUUUAUACAAAAUAUUGUUGGCUCUGAGACAAAUUGCAUGUUGUGUUCCUAGAUCCUUCCAUGCGGAUGGCCUCCUGCAACCCAGCAGAGCUGAGUGACCUCCUGUCAAAGGCCAUGAACCACAUGACUAUAGUAAGCAAAACCUCAAUCAUUCAGUACACUACUGUUGAAAAGUUGUGGCUCUGUAAGAUUUUUACAUGUUUUUGAAAGAAGUCUCACAUUUUAAAAUCAUUAACCCCGGGUUGUUUCAGUGAGAUUGUCCUUGAAAGGCCUGUAGGCUAAAUAAUCAGCUAAAUGAGGUAACAUAGGUGACAAGUAUAAAGUUAUAAUGCUUGUAGUUAUAAUCAUUUAUUUAACUAUUUUAAUAACAGGAUAUCAUGGUCAUUAAUCUAUUUUAUUGUAUUUCUCUAUGUCUGUUUGUUUAUGUUUGCCAGUGAACAGACGCCAUACUGUUCCACUCAAAGACCUCCGAAGAACAGGCGAAUCUCCGCCCCCAAUAUUUGCAUAUGCCAGCUCAUAUUCAAGCCAUUAGAAAGGGCAGAACGUCUGGAUGUGCACAGCAGAAUCAACAGACUAGAUGAGAUGUAAUCUCUAGUUUUUGGUGCUGAGAUUCUUCACGACAAGGCCUUGAUGCCAUUCACACUCACUACAUGAAGAUGAUUCACCAAACCUCUGGCUGAUCACUGGCAAUUUGCAGUAAUGACAGUGGACAAGUGAAGAGAGAGGAGGGGAUGGCAUCAGAAAGGACCUUGAGCUGCUGCGACUGUCUUGGAUCACCCAAAGCACAACUACACUAUGUGUCCAAGAUCCUGGCCUGUGUCCAUCCUCAAACUGUUCCAUGAACCUCCACUGCACAAAAGGCAGUUCCAGGUCAGAAAUAUUAGUACCCUCACUCUUCGCCAUCCUUCGCCAGUCAUCACAUUCACAACCACCACAGUCAACGCAAGUCAAGGUCCCUGGUCCACAGCAUCAACCAUCUUUGUAGGAAAAUGAUUACUGCAUUUCUUGAUGUAUCUUUAAAAUUGACAGAUUUCUUAUGGAGUGCAAUCCCUCUCUACAUGGACUGAGAGCCCAUCGUUCUUACAAAAUACUGUCAGACACUGCAUAUGAUGUUCUCAAAAUAAUAAAUUAAUUAAUAAAAUACUUUGUGCUUGUAAAAAGUGUUUUUUUUUUUUUUUUUUUUUUUAUCUAGUUGAAGGUAUAGUACACGUGAAUGUUCUGCGUCAUUUUGAGCUAGAAAAGCCUUGAUUUAAGGUUUGUGCUGUAAUUGUAGAAAAAAAAACUUGCACUUGCAUAUUGUAUGCUACAGGUUUUUAAUAUUACCUCUAAACAUUGCAAAGUUGAGAUGUUUUGUUUUAUAAAGUGUUUUUAAUAUUUUUUUAGUGGAUGUACAGUAAUUAUGUAGUAUUGUCAUGUUCGUACAAACGCAAACUAGAUUGAAAUU
Megalobrama amblycephala (Wuchang bream) is the source of this 1970-nucleotide long non-coding RNA. RefSeq lists it as uncharacterized. NCBI's taxonomy places the organism in Eukaryota, Metazoa, Chordata, Actinopteri, Cypriniformes, Xenocyprididae. The transcript is spliced from 8 exons. The record is from RefSeq and is a predicted model, not a curated record.